RNAcentral lists this ribosomal RNA (253 nucleotides) under uncultured bacterium. RNAcentral describes it as "partial 16S ribosomal RNA". It matches the Rfam family "Bacterial small subunit ribosomal RNA", at positions 524 to 776 of the family's 1533-position model. The record is from RNAcentral.
UACGUAGGGUGCGAGCGUUAAUCGGAAUUACUGGGCGUAAAGGGUGCGCAGGCGGUCCUGCAAGUCAGGCGUGAAAUCCCCGGGCUUAACCUGGGAAUGGCACUUGAAACUACGGGACUGGAGUAUGGCAGAGGGAGGUGGAAUUCCACGUGUAGCGGUGAAAUGCGUAGAGAUGUGGAGGAACACCGAUGGCGAAGGCAGCUCGCUGGGACGGUACUGACGCUGAGACGCGAAAGCGUGGGGAGCAAACAGG